AAGUCGUAACAAGGUUUCCGUAGGUGAACCUGCGGAAGGAUCAUUCAUGUGAUUUCAAAACACCCAAACUUUAUGUUAACUAUUAGUAACAAAAGUGCUUCAGGUUCAGUGUUUUUCUUUUGUUGGCUGCGUUUUCUUUUACCUCAUUCUAUUUUCAAAGCACUAUAAACAAAAGGGUAAAUUUUACCCAGAAAAUAGGUAAAAAAAGAUAAAUGCUACCUUUUAUAAUUUCACACUAAAAUUCACCCAAAAACCAUACCAUGUAACUAUUAAAACUAGUACAACUUUUAACGAUGGAUCCCUCGGCUCUUA
RNAcentral lists this unclassified non-coding RNA (312 nucleotides) under fungal sp. RNAcentral describes it as "partial internal transcribed spacer region". The stretch from base 1 to 46 matches the Rfam family "Eukaryotic small subunit ribosomal RNA", at positions 1786 to 1831 of the family's 1831-position model. The record is from RNAcentral. Lineage: Eukaryota; Fungi.